GGGUGCCGCAGGGAGCGGGCCGCCGCCGUGCUUACGUUUCCCUGCUUGGGGCUGAAGCUGAAGGGGUCCGCCGCCACCUCCUGCAUUUUGUCCUGCUGAUCCAGCCUGUGCAGCAGGUCCUGCAGCCUCUCGAUGUAGCUGAUGGCGCUCCUCAGGAUCUCCACCUUGGGCAGCCGCUGGUUGGGGUUGGCCACAGUCCGCCUUUUCAGAGCCUCGAAGGCUUCGUUGAUCUUCUUCAGCCUCCUCCGCUCCCGCAGCGUGGCCGCUUUCCGCCGGUCGGUGGGGGCCGACUUUCUCUUGCAGGUUUUGCAGGCCCAGAUGAGGCACUGGCCGGGGCAGUGCGGGGGCUGCAGGCCCGGCGGGGCCAGCACGUGCUCCUCGCCGCUGCUGUCGCUGCCGGCCUCCGGCGGCAGUUGGUCCUGACACGGGGACAGGGUGCCGUCGCUGCCCGGGUACAGCGGCGAGCCCUCUGCCAUCUCCAGCUGCUGCAGGGCCCCAUUCUCCCCGUCCAAGUAGAAGAAAUAGGAGCCGGUUUCGAAAAGGUCCAUCAUCAUGCUGUCCCUCGGCCCCUCUGCCUGCUCCGCUGGGGUGGCAGGCUCAAAAACACCCCGAGGAGCAACCCAGAUGGAAUUUAAUUAGUGCGGUGACAUAAGUCCCCACUGCUUUAUAUAUAGGAGCUGCUGAAACCCUAUCCAACUUUUAGCUGUCGCGGUGCAUCACCCUCCAAAACUGAUUCCAGCCAGUCUCCUGGGCGCUGUCCUGAGAACAUCUCCUAUUUAGAAGGCUGGGAAGGAGGGGGCACAUGGGGAGGGAGGCAAAGAGAAGAAAUAAAGGAAAACAAACGACAAAGAAAAAUGCCCUCCAAAGGCCUGUGAACUUGGGAUGAGGAGGCGAGGAGAGGGCUUGAGGAGCUGUGCCUGAGCGCAGCAAGCAGCUCUGCUGCGGGCUGGCGGGGAACACAGACACAGGGCUGCCCACUGAGCCCUCCCCAGCCACACACACACGCAGACAGAUACUCACAUACACACACAGAGUGCACACUUCUUACCCCAGUGCUAAGUAUAGGUUUGUAAAGAGGGCUUUCAGAGGCCUCCAUGGUUCUCCAAACAGAAGGGUUAAUAUUUUCAGAAGCCCCUGCUAUUCCCUCAGCCCCCUCGAAGCAUGCCAUUCCUGUGACCCACGGCCAGCCCAAGGUUAGGAGUCAGUCUCACUGUUCCUCCACACACAGGGGAAGGUUGCCAAGGCAGAGCCGUGCUGCAGAGCUGUAGCACCUGUGGUUAUCACACCCUGGUGCAGUGUUUUCCUUUGAACUUUCCGAUGUUUCCUGGGAGAUGACAGGAGUGAAUUCAGGUGACUGGGUUACAGCCUAAUGGGGCUCUCUGGACAGCCCCCGUCCUUGACAGUGUCUAGGGCAAUCAAAGCCCAGGCAUCUGUUCUAACUGCAGCUUAAUCCCUUGGGCCUGGCAAGACUUACAGAGCUUCCUGGCCCCUGAGACAGAAACGGAGCUUGUGAUCACCCUCUGUUAAGGUAUACUGUAAUGUCACAUCAUAUGUCUAGGCUUCUCUCACCUCAAGAAAGAGAAAGUAUGGGAAAAUGUCCUGUAUUGCUUCUUUCCCUGUUCUGCUUUGAGAUCCUUAAAUGACAUGUAAUUUCUCACUACUUACGUAAAAAUACAUAUGCGUGUAUGCACGUGCAUGUGUCCAUAUCUACAGACAUGCACAUACAUAUCUAUACGUACGUUGAUAAGUAGGUAUACUUCUCUUUGUGUAUAUGUGCAUAUUUGCUCAGAUAAACUCAAUAAUACGUGAGGAGUAGAUGAGCCCCUGGAGUCCCAUGGCAUCUCUCACAGCUAGCUUCUAAUUUCAUGUUUCUGUGAAGUAACUGUGGCAUUUUUGUUCAGUUGUCAAAAGCUACAUUAAAAUCAGUCACUGACUUGUCUUUCUCCAAAACUAAUUGCAAACCAGUUUUUCUGAGUACAGAAAUAGUGGAGAGUAGCCAUGAUUUUUGUUUCGACCAAAUUAAUAUUGUUAAAAUUGACCUAAUUCCUGGUUUAAUCAGGUAGAACGAUAUCCAGUUUUGGAUAAGACAGAGAUAUGCAGCCUGUACCCUGUGAAACUAACUUAGAUAUUUAUGUUCCAGCACUAAGGUGUGUAUAUAUAUAUUUUUUCAGAGUAGCCUUACAGUUAAGGAGUUGAACAUAAGGCACAGUUUCCCAGUUUCCAUGCUCUGUAAUUAGUUUUCUCUUUGACCUUUGACCAGUCACUUAAUUUCCCUGUGAUUUAAUUUUCUACCUUUAGAAAGGGAUGUAAUGUCAGCCUGUCCCCAUCCCGUGUGUUUCUCUUGUGGAUUGCUGCCUACUGAGGGAAGAGCUUGCUUUUUAACAUUAUGUGCUUCUCAGUGCUAGAGGGAUGUUAGUCCCAUACCACUAAUUAUAGUAGUAAUUAGAAAAAAAAAAAAGCAUGCUCAUCAUUUAAAAGGUUUUUAUUACAGUAUUAUUAAUUUUUUCUUUUGAUCUGUAGUUUUUUCACUGCCGCUCUCGAGGUGUUUGGAACAAGACAGAGAUUAGAUCAAUUUACUGGAACAUCCUUAUGGAACAAUCUCUGAAUAGCCACCACUUACUGCACUUCUGAUACUCAUUACAGGGAGCUCUCAGAGUGUCAUCUAGGUUUUCUCACCUUGAAACAUGACGUGUAUUGGCACUACCAAUUUCUACAUACCUGAUCCUGAUGUACAUACCCUGUCUGCUAAUGUAUCAGUAGUCACAGUUCAUUGGUAAGAGUUAUAGAAAACUUUGAUGUAUUGCUGCACUACAAAAUUCACUGUGGAAAUAGUAUAUUACACUGAGGACUGCAAAAGCUAAAAAGAAUGAGACACUUCUUUUCUCCCUUCCUUUGAGAAGGCGGUUUUAAGCAGAUGAGGACUGAGACAUUGUCACAUUCUAGAGAUGUUUCAGGUGUCUGAGAUGUGGGAACUGUAAUAGGAAAACUGGUGCCCAGAAGAUGUGUAAGCUGCUGAAGGACACGUUUAACCCCAAAGAAAUGCUGGGUGUACAGAAAUUAGACACUUUGAGUUUUCUUGAAUGUCUGGGUAGUAGUGACUCUAUGGGGGACCAGAUUUACUUAUGCUGACAAUGGCUUAUGGUAAAUUUAAACAAAAGAACUUCACUGUAGUUCAUGGAAGAAUCAUCGCCGCUGCUGGAAUGGAGAUCACUAAAGUCCAUGGCCUUUGGUAUAUAGUAGCACUGCUGAGCCUGGAUUAUCUCUUCUUGCCUUAAAAUACAUGAACUUCACAGUAGCGUGCGGUGAGUAACAUGGAACAGGUUUAAUUCUUGAUUUUCAUUUAUAUAUGUUGUCAGACCACAAGCUGACUGUUGCUUACCUGUGUUCUAUUAUUUACUUGACCCUGUUCAAAUUCUGCUUGUCUGAAGAAAUGUUAUUUCCAUAUUCAUAAAGUCAUGUGGUCUCUCAGUGGAGGUUUGCAAAAUGACUAGAGGAAGUGUGUGUACUGUGUGUGCCAUUUCAGAGAACUUGUAAACAAGAGGGAGCAUCCAUCUCUCACAUGCAAGUUUGGCAACUGGUUUAGUGAAUAGUAAUAUGUUCUGUGGAGACUGAAAGUCAGAAAGGUCGAGAUCUGAAAAAGAUGCCUUCAUAUAAUUAAACAAUCGUUGUAGGGGAAGAGCUGAAAAUAUUCACAGAGACCUUGGUUCCAUAGCUGUUCCAAAUCAUUGCUGUUUUCCUUUGAUUGGAUAUGGAAUUUAGUGUUCAUAUCAGUUACAGCCCUGUUAUCAUCUGAGAGGUGCAACUUCGCUAACUAAACAGACUCCUCUAGUUCAAGAUGGUAAGGUAGGAUUUCAUUACAGCUCUCAUGUUGGGCAGUUAUGAGACACAGUUCUAAAUGGCAGAUGCUUUAAUGCCUGUGUCAGGGUCUACAGUGACAAAUAGUCACCACUGCACAAACACAUUUAUUUUACUACAAGACGUUUUCCUGGGGAGGAGGGAGUGCCAAUCAGAAACCAGAAGCCCAUUACACUGUUGCUGUCUGGGACAGGCAUUUUCCAUGGUUCUGUCCAGGAAGAGAAGCUGUAGUGAUUACAGACCUCUCUUACUUUUGAUUCGACAAAAAAGAGGGAAAGGAAGUGUGAGAUGAGUGAUAACAGCACACAUUAUGUGCUAUAUAAUCUCAUUUUUUGCCAUCAGAUUUUCUGUAAGUGCAUGAAAGAUCAUUUUACAGUCGUACACUUACUUGGUUGUUAAGUCUAUAAGCUGUUGGAAGCACAGAGUGCAUUUUCACACUCCAUAGUUUCAGAACAUACCGACAGUGAUGUCUAAACCUGAUCUCAGUAAAAUGGACAAUAGUUUAAUUAUCAGUACUGAUAAUUAAAGUAAAUACACAUUUUAGUUCUGUAAGUGAAAGAAAGCAAGGACUGUUUCUACAUCCAGUACUCAGGCUAAUCGUAUCCCUGCUGUUUAUGGACAAAAAAGAGAGCUCAGGAGGUAGGAAAACGGCCACUUCCUUUUCUGGAGCUCAUGUAGAAUUUUUGCAGGGCUCUUCAUGGGAAAAUGGAGGGAUGGAGUAGAGUUUGGAAACUGGGAAGAUACAGUGAAAGUUAUGGAUGUGUAAAGCUCCCUUCACAGCAGUAACACCAGCAAUAACAUAGGCAUUGCGUAAAACACAGCACAAAACCAUGAGGUGAUUGUAUUGAAAUUAUCACAUUUUAUGCAUAAAUUGUAUUAAGAUGUUUCAUUAUCAGUUGCCAAAUACUUCUUGACAUAUGGAUGUGCCAAUUUAAUGAGCUCUUUGAUUACAUGGCUAACAAAGUUAAUCAGCUGUAGGCGGACGUAGGCGUUGCUUGGUCUGACUUAAUUCUUGGUGGUGCAUUAAUACAGUCCUUAAUUAUUCCAUGCGCAUGUGGAUUUUAAAUGCAUAAACAUCUGAAAUGAGAAUACCUUGAGAUAGUUCUCUUUUCAAAAUGUAAACAAAGUAUUAGAAAUAAUGCAGUCCUGUCCUCUGGACUUCUCCACUCCUCAUGAGGUAGUAUGCAUUUUCUGUCAUCUACAAUUUCAAGUUUUUGUUCAUUAUAUUUUGAGCAUUGUUCUGUCUUUGUAGACAAACAAUUUAGCUCAUAAGCGUUGAUCUCUCCAUUAUAUGUAGUUUGAGAUUUUGUUCUCCAUUUCUUUUGCUUUCUUCUACCCACAUUGCUGUCACAUGAACAAAUAAAGCUUGUCUCGUGUACAUUA
Long non-coding RNA from Gallus gallus (chicken), 5238 nucleotides. RefSeq lists it as uncharacterized. The record is from RefSeq and is a predicted model, not a curated record. Lineage: Eukaryota; Metazoa; Chordata; Aves; Galliformes; Phasianidae. The transcript is spliced from 2 exons.